RNAcentral lists this ribosomal RNA (499 nucleotides) under uncultured bacterium. Its description in RNAcentral is "bacterial SSU rRNA". It matches the Rfam family "Bacterial small subunit ribosomal RNA", at positions 28 to 517 of the family's 1533-position model. The record is from RNAcentral.
GAUGAACGCUAGCGAUAGGCCUAACACAUGCAAGUCGAGGGGCAUCACAUGAGGCAGCAAUGCCGAUGGUGGCGACCGGCGCACGGGUGAGUAACACGUAUGCAACCUGCCUUCAACAAGGGCAUAACCCGUUGAAAGACGGACUAAUACCCUAUAAUACAGGGGCCCCGCAUGGGGAUAUUUGUUAAAGAUUUAUCGGUUGAAGAUGGGCAUGCGUUCCAUUAGCUGGUUGGUGGGUAACGGCCCACCAAGGCAACGAUGGAUAGGGGAACUGAGAGGUUUAUCCCCCACACUGGUACUGAGACACGGACCAGACUCCUACGGGAGGCAGCAGUGAGGAAUAUUGGUCAAUGGACGCAAGUCUGAACCAGCCACGUCGCGUGAAGGAAGACGGCCCUACGGGUUGUAAACUUCUUUUAUACGGGAAUAAAGUGCCCCACGCGUGGGGUUUUGCAUGUACCGUAUGAAUAAGGAUCGGCUAACUCCGUGCCAGCAGCCG